AUUGAACGCUGGCGGCAUGCCUUACACAUGCAAGUCGAACGGCAGCACGGGUGCUUGCACCUGGUGGCGAGUGGCGAACGGGUGAGUAAUACAUCAGAACAUGUCCUGUAGUGGGGGAUAGCCCGGCGAAAGCCGGAUUAAUACCGCAUACGAUCCACGGAUGAAAGCGGGGGACCUUCGGGCCUCGCGCUAUAGGGUUGGCCGAUGGCUGAUUAGCUAGUUGGUGGGGUAAAGGCCUACCAAGGCGACGAUCAGUAGCUGGUCUGAGAGGACGACCAGCCACACUGGGACUGAGACACGGCCCAGACUCCUACGGGAGGCAGCAGUGGGGAAUUUUGGACAAUGGGCGAAAGCCUGAUCCAGCAAUGCCGCGUGUGUGAAGAAGGCCUUCGGGUUGUAAAGCACUUUUGUCCGGAAAGAAAUCCUUGGCUCUAAUACAGUCGGGGGAUGACGGUACCGGAAGAAUAAGCACCGGCUAACUACGUG
RNAcentral lists this ribosomal RNA (486 nucleotides) under uncultured bacterium. Its description in RNAcentral is "partial 16S ribosomal RNA". It matches the Rfam family "Bacterial small subunit ribosomal RNA", at positions 30 to 507 of the family's 1533-position model. The record is from RNAcentral.